This 267-nucleotide ribosomal RNA is filed under the name uncultured bacterium. RNAcentral's name for it is "partial 16S ribosomal RNA". It matches the Rfam family "Bacterial small subunit ribosomal RNA", at positions 87 to 354 of the family's 1533-position model. The record is from RNAcentral.
CGGACUUAGUGGCGGACGGGUGAGUAACGCGUGGGUAACCUGCCCUGUACAGGGGGACAACAGCCGGAAACGGCUGCUAAUACCGCAUAAGCCUGCGGGGCCGCAUGGCCCGGCAGGAAAAGCUGCGGCGGUACAGGAUGGGCCCGCGUCUGAUUAGCCAGUUGGCGGGGUAACGGCCCACCAAAGCAACGAUCAGUAGCCGGCUUGAGAGAGCGAACGGCCACAUUGGGACUGAGACACGGCCCAAACUCCUACGGAAGGCAGCAG